Molecule: ribosomal RNA, 492 nt
Filed under: uncultured bacterium
Lineage: Bacteria
Description: partial 16S ribosomal RNA
Rfam family: Bacterial small subunit ribosomal RNA
Source: RNAcentral
AGUGAACGCUGGCGGUAGGCCUAACACAUGCAAGUCGAACGGCAGCACAGUAAGAGCUUGCUCUUACGGGUGGCGAGUGGCGGACGGGUGAGGAAUACAUCGGAAUCUACUUUUUCGUGGGGGAUAACGUAGGUAAACUUACUCUAAUACCGCAUACGACCUACGGGUGAAAGCAGGGGAUCUUCGGACCUUGCGCGAUUGAAUGAGCCGAUGUCGGAUUAGCUAGUUGGCGGGGUAAAGGCCCACCAAGGCGACGAUCCGUAGCUGGUCUGAGAGGAUGAUCAGCCACACUGGAACUGAGACACGGUCCAGACUCCUACGGGAGGCAGCAGUGGGGAAUAUUGGACAAUGGGCGCAAGCCUGAUCCAGCCAUACCGCGUGGGUGAAGAAGGCCUUCGGGUUGUAAAGCCCUUUUGUUGGGAAAGAAAAGCAGCAGGUUAAUACCACGCUGUUCUGACGGUACCCAAAGAAUAAGCACCGGCUAACUUCGUG